UGCCUUGUUUGUUGUUAAAAGAUCUAAUUCCAUCUUUAGAUGUUAUAUCUCUAAUAUGAAUAUUGGGGGUGUUCAUCAUAGUUGCAGUGGAGUAUUGGGAUUAUAAAUCACACAUUGAGAAAAUAUCAUUUUAACAUGUAAAGCAAUCAAAUUACUUAUAUAAAUUCGAAUUAGAAUGAAUUAAAUUAUAAUUUAACUAAUACUUUCUCCAUAUUUAACAUGACCUGCUAAGCAUAGAUGAUUUUAUGUAUCUGCCUUUUUUAGAGUAAAGCUUCUAUCUAACUAUUUAUGCCGUAGACUUCUUUGAAGAUUUGGAAUUUAACUUACCAAAAGAAUCCAUGCAAUUUGCAAGUCUUAUUUUGAAUGUUAAUGAUGUAAUAAUUUUGUUGGAUAGAGGCUUUUUAAAUAGUUUUUUUAUUAGAACUCGUGCUUAGGAAUUACCAGUUUGGAUUCUUAUUAGAUGUGUUAAGGCCACCAAUGCGUUGGCCUAUGUCAGUAUUUGCCUGUGGAAACUUGAAGAUUGAAUUGUGUUGUUUAAAGUCAAAUUCAACCAUCUCAUCCCUUUUUCUUUCAUUUUCUUUUUUCUAGAAAGGCAUAUUGUAGUUAAAGCAAUUCGUUAUAGCAUAAAUUAUGCAUUUGGUUGCUAUUAGGAAGUCAAGAAUAGAAAUGUUGAAGAUGAUGAAAUAAAACAGGUACUUCUGACAGGUUGCCUGCCCUGGAUGUUUUCCUGGUGCAGCUAAUCUAAGUUGUGCCGAACUUCCGGGGUUGCUCUGAAUGACUUCGCAACCAUCUUGUGCCUGAUCCAUUCUCUAUUCAUGAAUAUAUCUUGUUGCGCUGUUUAUCUUGUGUUCA
This 852-nucleotide unclassified non-coding RNA is filed under the name Hevea brasiliensis (rubber tree). Lineage: Eukaryota; Viridiplantae; Streptophyta; Magnoliopsida; Malpighiales; Euphorbiaceae. The record is from RNAcentral.